This 1702-nucleotide long non-coding RNA is filed under the name Podarcis muralis (Common wall lizard). RNAcentral describes it as "lncRNA (ENSPMRG00000013423.1)". Lineage: Eukaryota; Metazoa; Chordata; Lepidosauria; Squamata; Lacertidae. The record is from RNAcentral.
CUUUGGGUAGCGAUAAAGCGGGAUAUCAAAUCCAAACUCUUCUUCAACAUUUUACCUCCUCCCUGAAAAAACUCAACAAUUUUGACCCGAGCCCCCAAAAAGGGGGUAGAUCACUGCCAGUUUUUAACUCUGUGAGUAGAUGGCAGUCUCUUGGGAGUUGGCCACCCCUGCUGUAUUGCAAAUCGGUUGGACUGGAUUGAGCCUUAGUUAGGCUCCCCUCCCAAUUCUCCCAUUCCAUGCUUUCCACGCUGCUGCCCUGAAGGCCCACCUUACCGGCAAAGUUCUUGGUGAAAACCAGCGUGACGAGGACGAUGGGGAUGAGGACGGUGCCGAUGGUGACGACGCGGUCGAAGGGCAGCUCGAGCUUGAGCUGCAGCAGCAGCGCCGCCAGCGAGCCCGCCUUGUCGUCCUGCGCACCGGGCAGGAUCAGCUCCUUGAGUUUCUCGCCCGCCAGCAGCGCCGUGGCCAUGUCCGGGUGGUUCUCGAUGAUGUGUUGCAUAAGCGGCGCUCCUCACCCGGGCGCUCCUGCCUGCAGCAGGGGAAGCGUCGCCGCCUGGCCGCCUUGAUGGGAGUCCUUUUUUUUAAAUCCCCGCGCCUCUCCUGCUCCCAAGCCGAGAGAGGAGCGCAAGGGUGACUCGGCAAAAUCAGAGAUGGUAAAGGGAAAAAAAUAAAUAAAAUCCGGCUGCGGCAGGCUGGCAAGACUCCGGCCUUCACAUAGUACUUCCUUUUGGUCCCCAAGUCUAGUGCAGGAUCUCACCCACCCGCCUCUCCGAAGAAGAGAGGGGCGAUUUGCAAAGGGCAGUUGCACGAAAGGAAGCGUCCUCCGCGGUAGCCGCCGCAACGAGCUGUUGGAGAAGGCGCUUUGCAGCGGCGAAGGAAGCCCCCCAGCGGAAUGCAAUGGGUUGAACGCCGCCCAGAGGUCGUUUAAGGUCUCCGCUUAAACAUCUGGAAUUGGUGGAGCUGCCAGCAGCGGCAGGAGUGGGGGCUUUGCUCCAGGAGAGAAGGGUGGCCGCGAGGAGGCAUAGGCUGCAGGCAUUAUCGGCUCAGAAGCUGCCGAGUCACCCAGUGCAACACGUUGCGCCUCGAAGUGGCGACAGACAGCUUCUCCUGCCGCUGCCUGGGAAUGGCUCGGCGGCAUCUCCGGCUGCUUUUGAGGCUGGCAGCCUGGUUAGAAGCGACGGAGGGAGCCCCUUUGGAUAAAAGGGGGGGCCAGGAAAGCCGCCUCUGGGCCUCAUUGCGGAGGCAACCAAAGGAACCCGGCGGCGAGCGCUGAAGCGGCGCAAAUGCAAAUGCAGAAGGGGAUUUAUUUCGAUUGCUAGUCGCCCCAUCCUCUUCCCCCUCUCUCUCUCUCGACACCUAGCUCUUGUUCUGCAAUGGCAUUAGUGCAGCCAAGUCCUCUGCAUGUUUGCCCACAAAAACAUCCCGUGGAGUUCAGUGGGUGUUUGUACUCCCGUGACACGCGAGAGUGCAUAGGGACUGCAGCCCUGGGUGGUGGUUGUUAUAAUUUGUUGUUAUUGUUUAGCCGUUUAGUUGUGUCCGACUCUUCGUGAGUCAACGUACGGUGAGAACUGAGAACUAUGCAAAACUCAAGGCAAAAGAGCUUCUUGUUAUAUUAUAAAGGAUGGGAAUUAUUUAGUUUUUCAGAUAUUGCUGUACUACAACUCUCAUCAUCCCUGUUUGUCACGCUGGUUGGCGAUAGGCC